Molecule: ribosomal RNA, 784 nt
Filed under: uncultured bacterium
Lineage: Bacteria
Description: bacterial SSU rRNA
Rfam family: Bacterial small subunit ribosomal RNA
Source: RNAcentral
GUAAAGAGCUCGUAGGCGGUUUGUCGCGUCUGUCGUGAAAGUCCGGGGCUUAACCCCGGAUCUGCGGUGGGUACGGGCAGACUAGAGUGCAGUAGGGGAGACUGGAAUUCCUGGUGUAGCGGUGGAAUGCGCAGAUAUCAGGAGGAACACCGAUGGCGAAGGCAGGUCUCUGGGCUGUAACUGACGCUGAGGAGCGAAAGCAUGGGGAGCGAACAGGAUUAGAUACCCUGGUAGUCCAUGCCGUAAACGUUGGGCACUAGGUGUGGGGACCAUUCCACGGUUUCCGCGCCGCAGCUAACGCAUUAAGUGCCCCGCCUGGGGAGUACGGCCGCAAGGCUAAAACUCAAAGGAAUUGACGGGGGCCCGCACAAGCGGCGGAGCAUGCGGAUUAAUUCGAUGCAACGCGAAGAACCUUACCAAGGCUUGACAUGUUCUCGAUCGCCGUAGAGAUACGGUUUCCCCUUUGGGGCGGGUUCACAGGUGGUGCAUGGUUGUCGUCAGCUCGUGUCGUGAGAUGUUGGGUUAAGUCCCGCAACGAGCGCAACCCUCGUUCCAUGUUGCCAGCACGUCGUGGUGGGGACUCAUGGGAGACUGCCGGGGUCAACUCGGAGGAAGGUGAGGACGACGUCAAAUCAUCAUGCCCCUUAUGUCUUGGGCUUCACGCAUGCUACAAUGGCCGGUACAAUGGGUUGCGAUACUGUGAGGUGGAGCUAAUCCCAAAAAGCCGGUCUCAGUUCGGAUUGGGGUCUGCAACUCGACCCCAUGAAGUCGGAGUCGCUAGUAA